This 1445-nucleotide ribosomal RNA is filed under the name uncultured prokaryote. RNAcentral describes it as "partial 16S ribosomal RNA". It matches the Rfam family "Bacterial small subunit ribosomal RNA". The record is from RNAcentral.
GCUCAGAUUGAACGCUGGCGGCAUGGCUAAAGCAUGCAAGUCGAACGCGAAAGUCACUUCGGUGGCGAGUAGAGUGGCGGAAGGGCGAGUAAUGCGUUUCUAACGUACCCCAAGGUCGAGGAUAGCUAGGGGAAACCCUGGGUAAUACUCGAUGACCCCGGCGGGACGCAUGUCCGAAUGAGCAAAGGCUUGCCACCUUGGGAUCGGGGAAAGCACUAUCAGGUAGUUGGUAAGGUAACGGCUUACCAAGCCUAUGACGGUUAGCGGGUGUGAGAGCAUGACCCGCCGCAUCGGAACUGAGACACUGUCCGGACUCCUACGGGAGGCUGCAGCAACGAAUCUUCCGCAAUGCACGAAAGUGUGACGGAGCAAUGCCGCGUGCAGGAUGAAGCCCCUCGGGGUGUAAACUGCUGUCAGAAUUUAGUAAUAAUGAACAAAUUCAAAGGAAGGGCCGGCUAACUUCGUGCCAGCAGCCGCGGUAAUACGAAGGGCCCGAGCGUUGCGCGGAAUCACUGGGCUUAAAGGGUGUGUAGGCGGAAGCGUCAGUGUCUUGUGAAAGCCCACGGCUCAACCGUGGAAUUGCAGGGCAUACUGCGUUUCUUGAGUGUGGUAGAGGCUGUCGGAACUAUAGGUGUAGCGGUGAAAUGCGUAGAUAUCUAUAGGAACAUCGAAGACGAAGGUAGGCAGCUGGGCCAUUACUGACGCUGAGACACGAAAGCGUGGGGAGCAAACAGGAUUAGAUACCCUGGUAGUCCACGCCGUAAACGAUGUACACUAGGUUCGGGGAGCUCUGACGCUUUCCGGGCCGCAGAGAAACCAUUAAGUGUACCGCCUGGGGAGUACGGUCGCAAGAUUAAAACUCAAAGGAAUUGACGGGGGCUCACACAAGCGGUGGAGCAUGUGGCUUAAUUCGAGGCAACGCGAAGAACCUUAUCCAGGGUUUGACAUGUAUGGAUUAGCUCCUAGAAACAGGAGUGACGCGCUUGCGUGGAACAUACACAGGUGCUGCAUGGCUGUCGUCAGCUCGUGUCGUGAGAUGUCGGGUUAAGUCCCUUAACGAGCGAAACCCCUAUCACUAGUUGCCAGCGCGUAAUGGCGGGGACUCUAGUGAGACUGCCGGUGUCAAACCGGAGGAAGGUGGGGAUGACGUCAAGUCCUCAUGGCCUUUAUGCCCUGGGCUGCACACGUGCUACAAUGGUAUAUACAGAGCGAAGCAAUACCGCAAGGUGGAGCAAAUCGCAUAAAAUAUGCCUCAGUUCGGAUUGUGGUCUGCAACUCGACCACAUGAAGGUGGAAUCGCUAGUAAUCGCGUAUCAGCUAUGACGCGGUGAAUAAGUUCCUGAGCCUUGUACACACACCGCCCGUCAAGUCAUGGAAGCCGGGAGCACCCGAAGUCGCACCAACUCAGGUGUGCCGACGGUGAGCUCGGUGACUGGGACUAAGUC